Molecule: transfer RNA, 69 nt
Filed under: human gut metagenome
Rfam family: tRNA
About the family: Transfer RNA (tRNA) molecules are approximately 80 nucleotides in length. Their secondary structure includes four short double-helical elements and three loops (D, anti-codon, and T loops). Further hydrogen bonds mediate the characteristic L-shaped molecular structure. tRNAs have two regions of fundamental functional importance: the anti-codon, which is responsible for specific mRNA codon recognition, and the 3' end, to which the tRNAs corresponding amino acid is attached (by aminoacyl-tRNA synthetases). tRNAs cope with the degeneracy of the genetic code in two manners: having more than one tRNA (with a specific anti-codon) for a particular amino acid; and 'wobble' base-pairing, i.e. permitting non-standard base-pairing at the 3rd anti-codon position.
Source: RNAcentral
CGACGUAGCUCAAUUGGCAGAGCAGCUGAUUUGUAAUCAGCAGGUUGCGGGUUCAAGUCCCAUCGUCGG